This 852-nucleotide ribosomal RNA is filed under the name Triticum aestivum (bread wheat). RNAcentral describes it as "partial small subunit ribosomal RNA". The record is from RNAcentral. Lineage: Eukaryota; Viridiplantae; Streptophyta; Magnoliopsida; Poales; Poaceae.
AUGAUAAUUUCAAGAAUGGGGAAAGGUCUCACAAAACGUAGGCAUCAUAUUCAAACCGGACCAGAAGAAAUCCUUUCAAACUUGUAUGAAGAUGAAGAAGAGUACAAGCCGCCACAUCUCCUUGGUCUCCUUCGAUUCUACAAAGCAAGCAACAAGAUGGCCACCAAAGCCAGCAAGAAAGCCAACAAGAAUGAUGUAUUUUCAACACUGAACCGUUUGAAAGCCCGGCUAAUUGGUGCGCAUAAAGAAAUGGAUGUACCAUCAUACAAUAACAUGUCCAUGGAAACACUUAGUCAAUUGUCAAUAUCUCCAGGAGCCACCGAGCUUGCAGAAAUUGGCAUCAAGGUGAAAGCCAUCAAGACGGGAAGUCCCACAGAAAUGGACAUCAGGAAAGGACCCCUCUUUGGCGAUCUUUCCUUCACGCCACUGGCGCUAAACGUAUCAAACGCAUGUUUGCUUGCAAACAUGGCGGCUUUUGAGGUAUGCACGGCAUCAUGGGAUCUAUGUGAUGUUCAAGAGACGGCCGUCUUCUUGUACCUCGCUCUCCUUGGCAUGCUCAUGGACCAGAAAGAGGAUGUGCGCGACCUACGAAGGAAGCAUCUUGUGCAAGGAGAACUCACGAACCAAGAGGUGUUUGACUUUUUCAAGAGCCUUACCAGGCACCUGCCGGUGGGCCUCUCCUUUCUCCUCGUCUUAACGAGCAUUGAGAAGUACCAGGCCAACAGGAGGAUCUGGGUCAAGGCGCACAAGUUCAUCUACAACAACUUCAAAACCAUUUCCGCGGUCCUCUCCGUGGUUGGUGUUCUGGUGGGCAUCUUCAAGACGCUCCUCUCUCUCAAGCAACACCAGUAA